This 245-nucleotide unclassified non-coding RNA is filed under the name Chalara sp. RNAcentral describes it as "partial internal transcribed spacer region". The stretch from base 1 to 46 matches the Rfam family "Eukaryotic small subunit ribosomal RNA", at positions 1786 to 1831 of the family's 1831-position model. Lineage: Eukaryota; Fungi; Ascomycota; Leotiomycetes; Helotiales. The record is from RNAcentral. RNAcentral also lists the same sequence under 3 other names.
AAGUCGUAACAAGGUUUCCGUAGGUGAACCUGCGGAAGGAUCAUUACCGAAGUCAAGGCCCCUUCGGGGGCUAAACUUCCACCCUUUGUUUACCUUACCAUUGUUGCUUUGGCGGGCCGCCUUAGGCCACCGGCUCUCGAGCUGGUGCGUGCCCGCCAGAGACCCCCAAACCCAAACCAUAUUUAGUGUCGUCUGAAAACAAGUUUAAAUUAUUAAAACUUUCAACAACGGAUCUCUUGGCUCUG